This 102-nucleotide transfer RNA is filed under the name Porticoccaceae bacterium. Its description in RNAcentral is "tRNA-Leu". The record is from RNAcentral. Lineage: Bacteria; Pseudomonadati; Pseudomonadota; Gammaproteobacteria; Cellvibrionales; Porticoccaceae.
AGCUACAGAUGCCCUAAAUAGUUAAUAAAAACAAUAGGUUAUAUUUUCUUGCCAGCAUUCAUAAUGCUGGGGUCGGUGGUUCAAGUCCACCCGUAGCUACCA